AGUCCACUGUGACCUCCUUUGCCUGGCAAAGAAAUAAAGCUGUCUUUUCUACUUCACCCAAAAUUCUACCCUUGAGUCUCAAUUCAGGUAACCAGGUAUGGAGGCCGUGUUUCAGCAACAACUUGAAAUGGAUACUAACUAAAGAUUGGACAGGGCGGAGGCUGUGGAAUAAUGGUUAAGAGUGAGGCUUGCAUCCAUUAUUGUGCUUGAUCCCCGGGUUCCGUGCCUCGAUGGAUCUGUGCCAUGUGGGAGCAUCUUCCCUUUCGGACACUGGGCGUGAGCUGGUGAUUUGCUUUGGCCAACAGUGUGGAAGCAGUGACCAUCUUAGUUCUCAAAGGCUUUGUGCAUUUUCAUUCUCUUCUGGAACCUUCCUACCAUCCUGAGGACAGACUCAGGAUAGCCUGUGGAGGACGUGAGACCAUCCUAGGCCAGGCAAGGAAAGCUGACCCGUGGCCACAAACACAUGACUGAGCCCAGCCGAGAUGAGCCGGCCCAAGUCAGCAGAACCACCCAGCCGACCUGCAGUAAUUAUUGUAAUUAUUGUAAGCCGGUAAGGUGUGGUCACGGUUUCCUUUGUAUCUACUGUUUGAACGCAGACAUCUGUUCCACAGGGAUGCAGGUGCCCACCCAGAGCAAGGGGAGCUCGGAUGAUUCCAAAGGAGGAAGCCCUUACAAUCUCACUCUGGAGGCAGCAGGUGCCAGGGACCCACUGAAUAACUGGAGUUUCCCCAGUUAAAGUCUUUGUGGAAUAUAAUGUUUUUUAAAGGAUAAGUUAUAAAAAUAUGCUAAUUUGAA
Vicugna pacos (alpaca) is the source of this 795-nucleotide long non-coding RNA. RefSeq lists it as uncharacterized. The record is from RefSeq and is a predicted model, not a curated record. Lineage: Eukaryota; Metazoa; Chordata; Mammalia; Artiodactyla; Camelidae.